ACAACCCUAGGAGAGGGUGCCAUUCACAUAGACUAUAAUUGAAUGGCGCCACUAGGGUUGUGC
Molecule: microRNA precursor, 63 nt
Organism: Castor canadensis (American beaver)
Lineage: Eukaryota; Metazoa; Chordata; Mammalia; Rodentia; Castoridae
Source: Ensembl